CUGGCUCAGGAUGAACGCUGGCGGCGUGCCUAAUACAUGCAAGUCGAACGCUUCACUUCGGUGAAGAGUGGCGAACGGGUGAGUAAUACAUAAGUAACCUGGCAUCUACAGGGGGAUAACUGAUGGAAACGUCAGCUAAGACCGCAUAGGUGUAGAGAUCGCAUGAACUCUAUAUGAAAAGUGCUACGGGACUGGUAGAUGAUGGACUUAUGGCGCAUUAGCUUGUUGGUAGGGUAACGGCCUACCAAGGCGACGAUGCGUAGCCGACCUGAGAGGGUGACCGGCCACACUGGGACUGAGACACGGCCCAGACUCCUACGGGAGGCAGCAGUAGGGAAUUUUCGGCAAUGGGGGAAACCCUGACCGAGCAACGCCGCGUGAAGGAAGAAGUAAUUCGUUAUGUAAACUUCUGUCAUAGAGGAAGAACGGUGGAUAUAGGGAAUGAUAUCCAAGUGACGGUACUCUAUAAGAAAGCCACGGCUAACUACGUGCCAGCAGCCGCGGUAAUACGUAGGUGGCGAGCGUUAUCCGGAAUUAUUGGGCGUAAAGAGGGAGCAGGCGGCACUAAGGGUCUGUGGUGAAAGAUCGAAGCUUAACUUCGGUAAGCCAUGGAAACCGUAGAGCUAGAGUGUGUGAGAGGAUCGUGGAAUUCCAUGUGUAGCGGUGAAAUGCGUAGAUAUAUGGAGGAACACCAGUGGCGAAGGCGACGAUCUGGCGCAUAACUGACGCUCAGUCCCGAAAGCGUGGGGAGCAAAUAGGAUUAGAUACCCUAGUAGUCCACGCCGUAAACGAUGAGUACUAAGUGUUGGGUGUCAAAGCUCAGUGCUGCAGUUAACGCAAUAAGUACUCCGCCUGAGUAGUACGUUCGCAAGAAUGAAACUCAAAGGAAU
This 890-nucleotide ribosomal RNA is filed under the name human gut metagenome. Its description in RNAcentral is "bacterial SSU rRNA". It matches the Rfam family "Bacterial small subunit ribosomal RNA", at positions 19 to 910 of the family's 1533-position model. The record is from RNAcentral.